RNAcentral lists this ribosomal RNA (468 nucleotides) under uncultured bacterium. Its description in RNAcentral is "partial 16S ribosomal RNA". It matches the Rfam family "Bacterial small subunit ribosomal RNA", at positions 28 to 507 of the family's 1533-position model. The record is from RNAcentral.
GACGAACGCUGGCGGCGUGCCUAACACAUGCAAGCCGAACGGAAAGGCCCUGCUUUCGUGGGGUGCCCGAGUGGCGAACGGGUGAGUAACACGUGAGUAACCUGCCCUUGACUUUGGGAUAACUUCAGGAAACUGGGGCUAAUACCGGAUAGGAGCUCCUGCUGCAUGGUGGGGGUUGGAAAGUUUCGGCGGUGGGGGAUGGACUCGCGGCUUAUCAGCUUGUUGUUGGGGUAGUGGCUUACCAAGGCUUUGACGGGUAGCCGGCCUGAGAGGGUGACCGGCCACAUUGGGACUGAGAUACGGGACAGACUCCUACGGGAGGCAGCAGUGGGGAAUAUUGCACAAUGGGCGGAAGCCUGGUGCAGCAACGCCGCGUGCGGGAUGACGACCUUCGGGUUGUAAACCGCUUUCGCCUGUGACGAAGCGUGGGUGACAGUAAUGGGUAAAGAAGCACCGGCUAACUACGUG